This 328-nucleotide ribosomal RNA is filed under the name Endeis australis. RNAcentral describes it as "partial 12S ribosomal RNA". The record is from RNAcentral. Lineage: Eukaryota; Metazoa; Arthropoda; Pycnogonida; Pantopoda; Endeidae.
UAUUUGUUACGGUCAUUAAAACUUAAAGGAUUUGGCGGCAGAUAAUUUUUAUUAGAGGAACUUGUAUUUUAAUAGAUACUACCCGUUAUAAUUUACUUAAUUUAGAUUAUUUUGUAUAUCGUCGUUUAUUUUUGGGGAAUACUUAAAGAUAAAAUUUUCUUUUUGAUUAAAUUCAAUUAAAUCAGAUCAAGAUACAGGUUAUAAUUAAGAGUUUAUGAGUUACAAUUAAUUUGGGUAUUAACGUAUAAUUUUUAGCAUUAAAUUUUUCAAGUUGAAUUUAAAAGUAAAUUUUUAUUAGAAAGUAAUAUUGAAUUAUUUCUAUUUGUGU